Xiphophorus hellerii (green swordtail) is the source of this 1474-nucleotide long non-coding RNA. RefSeq lists it as uncharacterized. The record is from RefSeq and is a predicted model, not a curated record. NCBI's taxonomy places the organism in Eukaryota, Metazoa, Chordata, Actinopteri, Cyprinodontiformes, Poeciliidae. The transcript has 3 exons.
CUCAAAUAAAUGCUGUGAUGUCUGGAGCCCUUUGCAGAAGGCAGAAGGCAAGCUUCUACAAUGGGCUUCAGUGGGGCUUGCCAACAAGCACCGGCUAUUUUGCACAGGGCUCUGCUGACUGAAGUGAUCCCCACGGCCUGAGCGGAGGAGAGGAGGGAGAGGAAGCCUCGGAGGGAAGAGGGAUAGUUCUGGAGGAGCCUCGCUGACGCACUCACGCUCACAAAAACUCAAACACAAUGUCCCCCUCAGUCCUGGGCUGUGACCGGCCCGUGGCAUUGCCCAGAAAUUCAUGGAUGUUCCUAUGAGGAGACACAUCCAGGCAGCCUCACUUUCAUCUCCCUGCAUCAUUUGAGCUGAAAGCUCCUUCCUGUCGAUGCACUUGGCUAUAUCUGCGUCUGACCUGUCUGCCAUAUGUAAUAUCAAAGCCUCUGUCAGCACGGAGCUGAAUGGGAACAAAAGAGAUGCCUCUAUUAAUGAUUAACUGUUCUAAAAGCCCCGGCUUUUGUAUUCCCAUGGUGCCCAGGCUAUCUGGCCACCAUGUGACAUGCUCACAGCAUUUUUUGAGCAGAUUGGGGGAAAGCUAGUGAGCAAACACAGGUGCUUUGGAGCAGCGGUGCCGACGCUGUCAGGGACAACCACAAACAAGAGCAGCUAUGCCUGGCUAAAUGAAUCCCCACCCCUCCCAGCACCAUCACCACCUCCUCAACCCCCCGCUCUGUCACCAGCUAACUUGUUUGCUAGCUCCCUAUAGCUUUCUCCUUCUGCAUGGUGGCCGCCCCCCUGCCCCUCUUCCUUGCACAAAUGCAAUGUCCGCUGCAGCCAGGCUCCAGAACUUCUCACACUCUCCAAAGAAACAAACAAAUAAAAGUGAGGACGGCCGACCACUUCUUUGAGGUGAUGGCAUUUGCUGCGGUCAUGACUAGUGGGAGAGCAAACAAAUUAAUGGUGUCCGUGUUUUCACUUUCUAAACCAAACUAAAUGUCUUUUAGUUCAAGUGGGGCAAUACAACUGACCCCGAUGUCAAAUGCUGCGUAAAGGUUGCACACUCUUGCACUUGAAAUGCUGAGAAGAGGCCAUAAGAAAUUAACCAGAACUUGAGUAAUGUUAUAUAUGAGUAGAAAAAUAACAAAGUAAACAUGUAAAAAUCAAAAUAAUCUACUGAAAAAAAAAGUGUUUUAGCAGCAAGCUAUAACCAAAGAUGACUGAAGUGCUUAACCUUUUCAUCACAGUGACUUGGGGUGCUGUGUCUCUCAAGUUUGAUAAGACAAUCAGAUGAUAGGAUGGCGUUAUCUUAACACGGCUUUUCCGGCUGGGAGACAAAUGAACAGCGAAUGAUAAAGGGAACAAAAGCAUUGCUCUUAUAGGCUGGUACCUCAGAGCACAGGAAAAAUUAUCAGAGUGGAAAAUUCACACAAGGUGCCCAUAUUUCAUUUUCAAUUUGGCUCUCAAGCUAAAUCACAGGAACAGCAUUUUU